RNAcentral lists this long non-coding RNA (1993 nucleotides) under Marmota monax (woodchuck). The record is from RNAcentral. Lineage: Eukaryota; Metazoa; Chordata; Mammalia; Rodentia; Sciuridae.
GAGCCAGGAUGUUCUGGGUCAGUUGUCCUGGGGCUCAGAGAAAGACUCCCUUUCUUUCUGCCUUUAAGAGCAGUAAUAAGAACAGGGCCCCUGCUCCCGUGAAUUCUGUCGGUCCUCACUCCGUGGGUUGGGACCUCUUGCCCAACCAGACAUGGCCGCCUCCCCUGGAGUCCACUAGUGGGGGCAGCAAAUGGGAGCAGCAGAGGACAUUCCAGUGGGGGUGAGUGUCCAGGCAGCUGCUGCCGAGCAGAUCUGGAGUCAAACCCUGCUUCUGGGCCAUGGUAACCAGGAGACCUUGCGCAGGCCAGUCCCCUCUCUGUGCCUAGGUUUCCUCAUCUGUAAAAUGGGGUGAAAGCCACACCCUCCUCUCAGUGUCGGAGGAAUGAAUAGUCCCAGUGGAUACAAGCCCCUGUUGGCCACAGAGUGGAUGUUUUUUCCCAUGAUGGUCAAACUCUCCCCUUUGGUUUAACUUUGCAGAUGGGGAAGAGGGUGAGCUAGUUGUGCUGCAUCCCUUAGUAACAGAAUUGCUGACACAGCGAGAGGACAAGAUGUGGCCAAAGGAACACCUUGGAUUGGAGUCAGAAAGACCUGCCUUGCGUCACCUGUGGGACUGAGGCUCUGAGCCUUGGGGCUCUUCUGCUGCCGGGGGUGACAGUCUUCACAGCAGACAUUCUCUCUGCUCAAAGGGUGACUGACUGACUGACGUCAUCAGAGGAGGUUGCUUGUGUACCCCCCUCACCUGGCCCUGGUGCCGUUCUCUGUCCCCCUCACCCUGCCUGUUGUGCCAUGUGACAAACAGACUUCCCUGUCUGUUUACUGUCUGUCUCCUCCAGUUACAAUGCCAGCUCUUGGGAGCAGAGGAUCUCUGCCUUGCUCACUGCUGCACCUCCAUAUCCUAGAAGGGCCCUGGCACAGAUGGGGUAUAUAAUACGUAUUUGUUGAAUAGCUGCGGAAUGAAACUGUCUUAAAUUCUCGGAUUAUUCGUGAGACUAGAAAUAGCCACCUCUGGGGUUAUUGAGGGGCUAGUUUACGUCAAAUGCAGGAGGAUGUCAGUAAAUGGCCAUGAUGAUAAUGACGGUGAUCAGACUGUGUCUGCAUACCUUCCCGCCUGGCCCUGCUUCUGAGAGCCGGGGUCAAAGGAAGAGGAUUUGGAUCAUCAUUCCUCAGAUCUGGCAGCAGAUCAGUGUCUCCUGAGGAGCUUAGGAAAAAACAUCUGUCCAGGCCUUGCUGUGGUCAUUCCGACCCAGAUCUCUGGAUGGAGCUCAGGAAUCUGUGUAUUUUAAGUCUGGAGUGGCCAGGGCAUUUCCCUUGCUGGAGUUAGAAAGGACACAAGGCCAGAGGGAGUUGUCAGGAUGGUUGUGUUCCAAGGAGGAUCCUGAGAAGGAAUUCCUACCUGCUGAAGGUGACACAGGACAUGGAAAACUCACUGUCACCAGGGAGAAAAAGAAAGCAAGAACUACUGACCAGUGAGAGCUUACUGGCUAGGAGGGCCACCUCCGUCAGACAGAAUACGUAACCCAGCCACACACAGAGCCGGUCAGGCGUGUUUCUGGGAGUGAAGAUGAGGAACACAAUGUGCUAUUUACGUUUCUGCUUUUAAACCUGACACCCUGGUAGCAGGUAGGAAGUGAGUGUUUGCAAACCCUUUGCAUUGCUGAGUGUUUAAUCUUUUAAUUAUUACUCUCGGUGUUUUUACAGUGUCAUGGUAAUAGGCAAACUCAUGGCCUCUUUCUAAAACUUUAUUUCAUGCAUAGAGUGUUUACACAACUGUGAAUCCCCCACAGGGCAAAAUACUGGGGCCAAAAGUUAAACCCAGAGGGUAAACAAACUGAAAUCAUUCUGUGUUUACAGUACAGUAAGUGUAUACGAAAGCAAGUGAGCUGAUAUUUUCUUAGUAAUUAUCCAGAUCUGUGCUGCCCAAUAUCAUUGCCAUUAGUCACGUGUGGCUAUUUAAAUUUAAUUAAAAUUGAAUUAAAAAUUUAGUUCCUCAGUC